UGGGGGAUAUUGCACAAUGGGGGAAACCCUGAUGCAGCGACGCCGCGUGGGUGAAGAAGUAUUUCGGUAUGUAAAGCCCUAUCAGCAGGGAAGAAAGAAGACGGUACCUGACUAAGAAGCCCCGGCUAACUACUUGCC
This 138-nucleotide ribosomal RNA is filed under the name uncultured bacterium. RNAcentral describes it as "partial 16S ribosomal RNA". It matches the Rfam family "Bacterial small subunit ribosomal RNA", at positions 355 to 509 of the family's 1533-position model. The record is from RNAcentral.